Molecule: ribosomal RNA, 414 nt
Filed under: uncultured bacterium
Lineage: Bacteria
Description: bacterial SSU rRNA
Rfam family: Bacterial small subunit ribosomal RNA
Source: RNAcentral
GACUAACGUUGACGGCGUGCCUAAUCUAUGCAAGUCAUUGAAGCGUAACUUCGGUUGCAAUUCAAGGCAGACGAGUGAGUAACAUGUAGGAAUCAACCCUUUAGUUGAGGAUAAUCCGCUGAAAGGCGGAAUAAUACUCGAUUGUCUCUUCGGAGUAAAGCUUCGGCGCUAAAGGACGAGCCUGCAUCCUAUCAGCUAGUUGGUGAGGUAAUUGCUCACCAAGGCUAUGACGGGUAGGGGGCGUGAGAGCGUGUUCCCCACGAUGGCACUGAGAUACGGGCCAUACAUCUACGGAUGGCAGCAAGUAGGAAUAUUGCGCAAUGGUCUGCUUAUGCGGACUGACGCAGCGACGCCGUGUGAAGGAUGACGGAUUUCGGUCUGUAAACUUACAUUAAAAAGGGGCGGCUAACUUCG